Molecule: long non-coding RNA, 864 nt
Filed under: Cottoperca gobio
Lineage: Eukaryota; Metazoa; Chordata; Actinopteri; Perciformes; Bovichtidae
Description: lncRNA (ENSCGOG00000014276.1)
Source: RNAcentral
ACCCUCUGUUUUUAACCUCUGUGUGUGUAUGUGUGUGUGUGUGUGUGUGUGUGUGUGUGUGUGUGUGUGUGUGUGUGUGUGUGUGUGUGUGUGUGUAUAUCAGUGUGAGGAGGGGCUGCAGGUCCAUCAGGACUGAAAGAAGGUUCCAGGUUUUUGGACCAGAACCAGAGAAGAACCCACACUCCUUCAGCUCCACACUGAACUCUGUGUUGUGGACAGCCAAUGACGUCCUCCUGCUGGUUGCCGAGGACUUCUACCAGAGCGAGCGUCUCAGCAGGUUCUUCCUGGUUCCUGACCGUUUGGACCAAUGGGCUGAAAGCAUGCAGCAGAGGCUGUUGGGAUACCAGGAGCAGAGCAGGAAGUUUCUGAAAACGAACAGAGAGGAGCUGGUGGCCCAGUUGUCUCUGUUGGAGGAGCUACGGCAUUCGUUACCUGCAGUUUUGAUUAGUAACCAUGAGCGACUACAGGGGGCGGGGCUUAGAGAGGAGGUGGGCUGUGUCAGACUGAAGCUGGAGGAGACGCUGGCAGCCAGCGAGGAGGAGAAGCGUGUGAACGUCCGUCAGCUGCGAGCGUCUCUCAGAGAAGACGAGCUUCAGACUCUGAACAGCAGAGAAGAGCUCAGACAGCAGCAGCUGCACAGCACCGUCUGCUGCGCACACCUGGAACUACAGGUGUGUGUGAGAGUCCGAGGGGAGGAGUUUGUGACAUCACUGGCCUCUCUGACAGAGCGGCUGCUCUCUCAGCUGGACGACCUGCUCAUACCUGAAGGUAACUGACUGCAAGUAACUGACUGAAGGUAACUGACUGAAAGUAACUGACUGAAAGUAACUGACUGAAGGUAACUGACUGAAAGUAACUGACUGA